AUCAGAUGACCUGUGCGGGCGGCAGCCUCCUGCCCUCCUCCCCUUCGUGCGCCGGCUGGAGCGAAGAGUUCUUUUGACAGCCGUGAGCUUCCCCGCCAGGAACUUACUGGGGCUGCAUCACCCUAGAAACGUGGCUUUGGGCUGUGGAAACGCUGCCUCUGUGGAAGUCUCUCCUCGCGGGGGUGGACGGGUCGCUGCGCGCCCAGCGUUCUUCUGCGGUUCUCACAGCCCGCCGCCGCCGCCGCCUCGGGGACCUUUGCGGGGAGGCCUCAGGGCACCUUCCUCCUCUCUCUCAGGCACGUCCUCGACCUCAGUUGCCACGUGCACAUGCUGGUGCCUUCCAGGUCGGUCUUUCUCCACCAGACUCCACCUGGAACUUUCUUCCUUUUCGUCCUGUGCUGGCCUAACCCCUGCUCGGCCUCGGCCCUCAGCUGCCGGCUCUAACAAAGCCUCUGUCUUUCCCAGACCCCUGUGACCAGGCUGGAGUAUAGUGGCAUGAUCAUAGAUCACUGCAGCCUCAAACUCCUGGGCUCAAGCGAUCCUCCCACCUCAGCCUCCAUAUAGCUGGUGGGGACCAAGUUUCUAACACAUGAAUGUUGGGAGACACAUUCAGACCAUCGCAGUGGCCUUAUAAAAAGAGACACAAGAGCUUGCUCUCUGCCAUGUGAGAAUACCACAAGAAGACUGUCCUCAGCAAAUCAGAAAGCGGGUGGACCCUCAUCAGACACCAGAUGUGCCUGCACCUUGAUCUUGGACUUGCCAGCCUUCAGAACAGUAAGAAAGAAAUGUGUGUUGUUUAAGCCACCCAGUCUAUGGUAACUUGCUAUAGCAGCCCACUAGGAGACCCCAAGAUAUUUAAAAACUCAUCAGCACCUGCUUUCUGCAUCUGGACCCUGAUCUUCUGGUGGGUUUACCAGUUACUUGUAGAGUGUCCCUGUGAUAGUUUUAGGUGUCAACUUGACAGGAUUGAGGGAUGCCUAGAUGGCUGGGGAAGCACUGUUUCUGAGAAGGACCAUGUUUUUGGAGGAGACUGUUUUAUGAGUGAAUUUCAGGGGACACAUUCAGAUCAUGGCAGUGGCAUUAUAAAGAGAGACACAAAAGCUUGCUCUCUCUCUCUGCCAUGUAAGACUACCACACAAAGACUGCCAUCUGCAAACCAGAAGCAGGUGGGCUUUCCUCAGACACCAGAUCUGCCUGCACCUUGAUCUUGGACUUGCCAGCCUUCAGAACUCUAAGAAAGAAAUGGUAGCAUGGCUUGGUCUAAGUUGGAAGGCCUGAGAAACAAGCACAUGGUGGAACUGAGUUCAAGGAUAAAGACUUGAGAAUACCUGCUCAGUGGACUGAGUAGGGAAGAUCAACCCUCAAUGUAGGCAGGCACUAUCCAAUCACCUGAGGGCCCAGAUGGAACAAAAAGGUGGAAGAAGGGUGAAUUCUCUCUUCCAGAGCUGUGACACCCUUCUCAUGCCCUUGUACCACACAACUCUAGGUCCUUUGGCCUUUGGACUCUGACACUUGCACCAGUGGCCCUCUGGGGCUCUCAAGCCUUUAGCCUUGAACUUAGUUACACCAUGUGCCUCCUUGUUUCUCAGGCCUUCCAACUUGGAUCAGGCCAUGCCACCGGCUUCUCUGAUUCUCCAGCUUGCAGAUGGUAUAUUGUGACCCUGGCAUUUAAUAACUAUGACUUUGGUCUUAAGCAAUUUUCUUCCUCUGUGGAUUGAUAUUUACAUAUCAAUGUGGAUAAUAAUUUCUUACCACGGUAACUGUUGUGAGGUAAAAAUGAGUUAACAUAAGUAAAACCGAGCACAUGCAAACCAUCCGAAAUGGUUAAUACUUACUAUUUGUACUUGAAGAAAUAAAUGUUUUUGACAAUAAACUUCUUGUGCAGUUUUCCUCA
Long non-coding RNA from Homo sapiens (human), 1894 nucleotides. RefSeq annotates it as long independently transcribed non-coding RNA 847. The transcript has 3 exons. Lineage: Eukaryota; Metazoa; Chordata; Mammalia; Primates; Hominidae. The record is from RefSeq and is marked validated.